This 457-nucleotide ribosomal RNA is filed under the name Bacillus sp. 1a-6 (1). Its description in RNAcentral is "bacterial SSU rRNA". It matches the Rfam family "Bacterial small subunit ribosomal RNA", at positions 102 to 546 of the family's 1533-position model. The record is from RNAcentral. Lineage: Bacteria; Bacillati; Bacillota; Bacilli; Caryophanales; Bacillaceae.
ACGGGUGAGUAACACGUGGGCAACCUGCCUAUAAGACUGGGAUAACUUCGGGAAACCGGAGCUAAUACCGGAUACGUUCUUUUCUCGCAUGAGAGAAGAUGGAAAGACGGUUUACGCUGUCACUUAUAGAUGGGCCCGCGGCGCAUUAGCUAGUUGGUGAGGUAAUGGCUCACCAAGGCGACGAUGCGUAGCCGACCUGAGAGGGUGAUCGGCCACACUGGGACUGAGACACGGCCCAGACUCCUACGGGAGGCAGCAGUAGGGAAUCUUCCGCAAUGGACGAAAGUCUGACGGAGCAACGCCGCGUGAACGAAGAAGGCCUUCGGGUCGUAAAGUUCUGUUGUUAGGGAAGAACAAGUACCAGAGUAACUGCUGGUACCUUGACGGUACCUAACCAGAAAGCCACGGCUAACUACGUGCCAGCAGCCGCGGUAAUACGUAGGUGGCAGCGUUGUCC